GGAGCUCACCCCGUAGUGGGGAUUCGAACUGCCGACCUUCUGAUCGGCAAGCCCUAGGCCCUGUGGUUUAGACCACAGCGCCACCCGCGUCCCUAAGCAGCUCGUUCGGCACUGUGGAGAAGGGAGGGGAGAGUCGGUGGGGAGGAUUUCCCCCCCCCCCAUAUAGUCCAGCCCCCCACAAGGUCUGAGGGACAGUGGACCGGCCCCUGCGGGAAAAGUUUGCUGACCCCUGGUAAAUGACAUUUCCGUGCGCUCUGGUUUCCGUCACGGUGUCCCGUUGCGCAAGAAGCGGUUUAGUCAUGCUGACCUCAUGACACAGAAAGCUGUCUGUGGACAAACACUGGCUCCCUGGGCCUUAAAGCGAGAUGAGCACCGCAACCCCAUCCAGUGGUACCUUGUGUUAAGAGCUUAAUUCAUUCUGGAGGUCCGUUCUUAACCUGAAACUGAUCUUAACCUGAGGUACCACUUUAGCUAAUGGGGCCUCCCACCGCCGCCGCACAAUUUCUGUUCUCAUCCUGAAGCAAAGUUCUUAACCUGAGGUACUAUUUCUGGGUUAGCAGAGUCUGUAACUUGAAGCAUCUGUAACCUGAAGCACCUGUAACCUGAGGUACCACUGUAGUCACCUUUGACUGGACUUACCUUGAGAUCCACCAGAUGGCAGCAUAGGUUCAAGGAACCAGGUCUCCACGCUGGUUCAGCAGUUUUCCUUUUCCGCCUUUGUGGUUUUCUGCACAGCCUUGCGUGCCACGGAACUGGUGCUGCACAAUCGGCGGCAACAGGAAGGCAAGACAAGCCACAUGAUUCUUUCAGGGCUGCUCAGCCACCAUUGCUGAUUCUUGCACUUGAAGCACAUCCUCCAAAGGCCCAGGAGGUUUCUGAGCCCUAGAGGGGUGCCCCAGAAGUGGAAUAAAAGCCACUGCUCUGCUUCCCAUGGGCUUGUUCGUUUUUCUCAGGAGCAGGGGACCCUUUUCCGUCUGGGGGCCACAUUCUCUUCCCAGCAGCCUCCCAGGGGCCGCAUGCUGGGGUGGGCGGGGCCAUGGGCAAAAGUGGGCGGAGCAAUGAAUGCAAGUUUUAUUGUUGUGGUUUCUAAGCACACAGCAUUCUCUAUCCUGCGCCCAGGGAAAAGAGGCACAUUACCAGAGUUCAAUGACAAACCUAGACAGCAUCUUAAAAAGCAGAGACAUCACCUUGCCAACAAAGGUCCAUAUAAUUAAAGCUAUGGUUUUCCCAGUAGUGAUGUAUGGAAGUGAGAGCUGGACCCUAAAGAAGGCUGAUCGCCGAAGAAUUGAUGCUUUUGAAUUCUGGUGCUGGAGGAGACUCUUGAGAGUCCCAUGGACUGCAAGAAGAUCAAACCUCUCCAUUCUGAAGGAAAUCAGCCCUGAGUGCUCACUGGAAGGACAGAUCCUGAAGCUGAGGCUCCAAUACUUUGGCCACCUCAUGAGAAGAGAAGACUCCCUGGAAAAGACCCUGAUGUUAUGAAAGAUGGCGGGCACAAGGAGAAGGGGACGACAGAGGACGAGAUGGUUGGACAGUGUUCUCGAUGCUACCAACAUGAGUUUGACCAAACUGCGGGAGGCAGUGGAAGACAGGAGUGCCUGGUGUGCUCUGGUCCAUGGGGUCAAGAAGAGUCUGACACAACUAAAUGACUAAACAACAACAACAACCAGAGUUCAAGAACGCAUUCCCAUCAGGUGAACACACUUGAGGAAGCUAUGAUACAGGGAGAGGGGGAGACAUGGUGUGCAAAGGGGGGACUGGGGAGGGCAGCAGGGUGGGAAGAAUCAUGGGGGCCAGAUGGAGAGGUGUGGAGGGCCACAUACUCCCCUCCCCUGUUUAAUAUGCUGAUAACACAGAUUUUGCCAGCUGAUUCAUAUAAUUUUAUAAUUAAUCUAAAGGUCAGAGAAAAUCUGGAGAGGAUCAGACAUUUGCUUGCAAAUCUUAAGGUCAACCAUGCAUGUAAUAUUCUCUUCUGCAAACUGCAUAAGAUCAUAUAAAGUGGUGAGCGGAGCAUGGAAUGACAAAUAUAAUUUCGGUACCGUGUUAUGCUUAACGCAACUUGGCUCAAAAGGGCAACGUAAGUCACUAGAUUUCGCUACCUCUGUCUCUGGAAUUCAGUCAUGGGACAUUUUCGCUCCUUACAAUACGCUUUCAGUAAAUGACCGAAAUCUCAUCCAGCAUUUAAAAUGCCAAAACCAAGGCUUGCGAGGCGAUAAUUUUAGGCAUUCUCAGAGAGCAUUGUCAUUUCUGGUGUUAAGGGGUAAAUGAUGAUAGACAUAUGCAAAAACUGCUGCCUCUUGGGUUCUUCCAGGUGCCUCAGGUCUUCACUUGUGAAAUGGGUGUAAUCCCUUAACAGCUGCACACAGUUCUGGCAAGGAUGGAAGAGCAGCUGAUGACUGGAUCCAGCUCCCCGCGGUUCUAUAGUUUUGUAGAUAUGAUAUAUGGUGCAUCCAGCCUCAGUUCUCCAUCUGGAAAAUGGAACUUCUGUGGGCAUUUCAAGGACUUGGAGGCCCUCUCAUUAAGUAUGAUUUUGCAUUUCCCACUGCUACAAUUCAGAUACAAAACCCUUCCGCUUCUCCCCUUGCAGGAAUAACUUUCAUGGAUGGGGCGUCACAGUCUACAGGAAGUUUGUAGUAUCACCUGUGAGGCAGUUUGCAGUGGCAGCUGGGAAGGUCUCCAAUAAGUAUAAGGUAAAGGUAAAGGGACCCCUGAUCAUUAGGUCCAGUCGUGACCGACUCCGGGAGUUGCGGUGCUCAUCUCGCUUUACUGGCCGAGGGAGCCGGCGUACAGCUUCCGGGUCAUGUGGCCAGCAUGACUAAGCCGCUUCUGGCGAACUAGAGCAGCGCACGGAAAUGCCAUUUACCUUCCCACUGGAGCGGUACCUAUUUAUCUAUUUGCACUUUGAUGUGCUUUUGAACUGCUAGGUUGGCAGGAGCAGGGACCGAGCAACGGGAGCUCAGCCUGUCGCGGGGAUUCGAACUGCCGACCUUCUGAUCAGCAAGUCCUAGGCUCUGUGGUUUAACCCACAGCGCCACCCGCGUCCCUCCAAUAAGUAUACAGGCACAUUUUAACAGGCAAUUUACUUUUUUUGGUAAAUUUGCUAAUGAAUGAAUGAAUGAAUGAAUGAAUGAAUGAAAAAAUGAAUGCUGCUGCUGCUACCACUACAAAUAAUAAUACUUUUGUGGGUUUGGGGUGAGGUCAAUCUAGUUGAUGCCCUGAGUCCCUCCCAAUUCUUGGGGUCCUGUACCCAGCGAGGGUGAGAAUCUAACAAGGGAAUCUAUUGCUGAACUAGUCCAGGUUUUUAUUAUUAUUAAUAUUAUUUGGUAAGGCAAUAAUUUUAGCAGGCCACAAAUAUCCUCAUCAGCAUCCCAAAAGGAUGAGCUAUGUUUUGAGAGCUGCAGCUAACUGAUGGCGAACGGAUGGGCCUUUCCCCCCGCCCAACUCACUUAGCGUCUCCACCCCCAUCAUUCUGCCCGGACACUGAGGUCCAGCACCGAGGGCCUUCUGGCGGUUCCCUCAUUGCGAGAAGCCAAGUUACAGGGAACCAGGCAGAGGGCCUUCUCGGUGGUGGCGCCUGCCCUGUGGAACGCCCUCCCACCAGAUGUCAAGGAGAAGAACAACUACCAGACUUUUAGAAGACAUCUGAAGGCAGCCCUGUUUAGGGAAGCUUUUAUUGUUUAAAAGACUACUGUAUUUUAAUAUUCUGUUGGAAGCUGCCC
Molecule: non-coding RNA, 3716 nt
Organism: Podarcis lilfordi (Lilford's wall lizard)
Lineage: Eukaryota; Metazoa; Chordata; Lepidosauria; Squamata; Lacertidae
Source: the annotation of a GenBank genome assembly